This 77-nucleotide transfer RNA is filed under the name Salmonella enterica. RNAcentral describes it as "tRNA-Ser". It matches the Rfam family "tRNA". Rfam says of the family: Transfer RNA (tRNA) molecules are approximately 80 nucleotides in length. Their secondary structure includes four short double-helical elements and three loops (D, anti-codon, and T loops). Lineage: Bacteria; Pseudomonadati; Pseudomonadota; Gammaproteobacteria; Enterobacterales; Enterobacteriaceae. RNAcentral also lists the same sequence under 1 other name. The record is from RNAcentral.
CCGUCGGUAGCUCAUCGGGUCAGAGAGCCUGCCUGCUAAGCAGAAUUAACGGGGUUCGACUCCCCGCCGACGGUCCA